Molecule: ribosomal RNA, 253 nt
Filed under: uncultured bacterium
Lineage: Bacteria
Description: partial 16S ribosomal RNA
Rfam family: Bacterial small subunit ribosomal RNA
Source: RNAcentral
UACGUAGGGUGCAAGCGUUGUCCGGAAUUAUUGGGCGUAAAGAGCUCGUAGGCGGUCUGUCGCGUCUGCUGUGAAAACUCGGGGCUUAACCCCGGGCCUGCAGUGGGUACGGGCAGACUAGAGUGCAGAAGGGGCAACUGGAAUUCUCGGUGUAGCGGUGAAAUGCGUAGAUAUCGAGAGGAACACCUGCGGCGAAGGCGGGUUGCUGGGCUGACACUGACGCUGAGGCGCGAAAGCUAGGGGAGCGAACGGG